This 433-nucleotide ribosomal RNA is filed under the name uncultured bacterium. RNAcentral's name for it is "partial 16S ribosomal RNA". It matches the Rfam family "Bacterial small subunit ribosomal RNA", at positions 38 to 507 of the family's 1533-position model. The record is from RNAcentral.
GGGGGGGGGGGGGGGGGGGCCGGGGGGGGGGGGGGCGGGCGAGGGGGUCGGGUGGAGUGGCGCACGGGUGCGUAGCGGGUGGGAACCUGCCCUUAGGGUCGGAAUAACUCCCCGAAAGGGGUGCUAAUACCGGAGAAUGUCUUCGGACCAAAGAUUUAUCGCCUUUGGAUGGGCCCGCGUUGGAUUAGCUAGUUGGUAGGGUAAAAGCCUACCAAGGCGACGAUCCAUAGCUGGUCUGAGAGGAUGAUCAGCCACACUGGGACUGAGACACGGCCCAGACUCCUACGGGAGGCAGCAGUGGGGAAUAUUGGACAAUGGGCGAAAGCCUGAUCCAGCAAUGCCGCGUGAGUGAUGAAGGCCUUAGGGUUGUAAAGCUCUUUUACCCGGGAUGAUAAUGACAGUACCGGGAGAAUAAGCUCCGGCUAACUCCGUG